AAAGAUUAUUCAAUACAGAAAAUUUCCUUUAUACUCGUUCUUCUUUCUUCAAUUAUGACAUGGUAUCAGAGUAGGUCUGAUCUACUCUAAUAUUCUCUUUUAUUUUUCACAAAUCAACAUUCUUCAAAUCUAGCUAUUCAAUAUUAAAAUGGCUACUGAAGGUCAAACCACUUAUGCAGUUAAUUCUGCUUCUUCCACUGCUGAUGUAUCAGUUGCAGCAGGUAUUACUACUCUGGAGUAGUUGAUUCUGGUCACCCAUACUACCUCCAUCUUUCAGAUUACCCAGGGAUGAACCUCGUUUCUUCGGUCUUCGAUGGAAAAGGAUAUGGAGGUUGGAGAAGAGCUGUGGUCAUAGCUCUUUCAGCUAAGAACAAGCUAGGAUUCAUUGAUGGAUCCUUAGUUGUUCCAAGUGUUGAAUCUGGUCUUCAAAAGGUCUGGGCUCGUUGCAAUGACAUGGUCCUUUCUUGGCUUCUCAACUCACUCUCCAAGGAAAUAGCAGAGAGUGUUUUGUACUCACAAAGUGCAAAUGAUCUUUGGAGUGACCUGGAAGACAGAUUUGGUCAGACAAAUGGAGCAAAAUUAUUUCAACAGGGUCUGGGCUCGUUGCAAUGACAUAGUCCUUUCUUGGCUUCUCAACUCACUCUCCAAGGAAAUAGCAGAGAGUGUUUUGUACUCACAAAGUGCAAAGGAUCUUUGGAGUGACCUGGAAGACAGAUUUGGUCAGACAAAUGGAGCAAAAUUAUUUCAAUUACAAAAGGAAUUAAGUGCUGUUGUGCAAGGAAAUUCCAGUGUAUCAGGUUAUUUCACAAAGAUGAAAAGCCUAUGGGAUGAACUAGAUGCACUGAACACUUUUUCUUCUUGUGUUUGUGAGUGUGAAUGUGGUGCUAAGACAAAGAAUUUUAAGGCUCAUCACGAUGAAAGGUUGCUUCAGUUCUUAAUGGGUCUAAAUGACACCUUCAUAGGAGUAAGAAGUAAUAUCCUUUUGUCAUCUCCCCUUCCUUCGAUUGGACAAGAAUAUUCCUUGGUUAUCCAAAAUUAAAAACAGAGGGAAAUUUAUGCCACACCUGGCUAUCGAGGAGAUGCUGCAUUUUUCAUUGCAGCUAAUCAUUCAGGAGGUGUGAAGAAAUACACCAAUUACAAGGGUCAGAAAGGAGGUUUUGAGGGAAAGAAGGUUUCCAGCAUAUGUCAUUAUUGCAAGAAGCCAGGACAUAACAUUGAAAAGUACUAUAGGAUUUAUGGGUUUCCUGCAUAUUUCAAGUUCACGAAACAGAAGAAAUUUCAAGGUACAUCACAAGUAAGCAAUGUUUUCAGUUCAGGACAAAGCAGUGAGCAAGGAACCAUGGAUGGUCCAGAUAUGCAGACACUUACUAAGGAAAAUGUGACUCAUCUAUUACAGCUCCUUCAGCAAGUCAACAUGGGACAAUAAAAUGCUUCUAUUCCUGAUGCAUGUGCAAGUGUGGACUGUGCUGGUAUAGCUAAAUUCUUUAACUCAUAUGCUUGUUUUAUGCAAAUAGAUGAAAAAUCUUGGAUAAUGGACAGUGGUGCAUCUGAGCACAUGACCUUCAACAAAGAGUUUCUUUGUGAUUUCAAACCUCUGCCUCAGCCUUUGAUGGUCACCCUGCCUAAUUCCCAUAGAGUCAAAGUAACACAUUCUAGUUCUCUUUCAUUUUUUCCUAACUUAAUAUUACACAAUGUGCUUUAUAUUCCUUCCUUUCAAUUUAAUCUAAUGUCUGUACAUAAGUUGUGCAAAUAUUUCAAACAAUAUGUGCUUUUCACUCCUACUUCUUGUUUUCUACUGCAGGGCCCUUCACUGAAGAGCCCUCUGGAGAUUGGUAAGGAGAAAAGAGGACUCUAUACCAUCAAGCCAAAUGUUCCAGCACCUACUUCCAAGAUUUUUCGUAAGUCCAAUAGUUUUUCAGUUUUCAAAAUUAGGGCAGCAUGUGUUCCUAAGUUUAAUUCUUGUUUCAGUUUUCCAAUUCAAAUGUAAAAGGCAGAUUAUGGCACUAUAGGUUGGGCCAUAUGCCAUUAAGC
This 2031-nucleotide long non-coding RNA is filed under the name Nicotiana benthamiana. RNAcentral's name for it is "long non-coding RNA (NBEN_LNC042039)". The record is from RNAcentral. Lineage: Eukaryota; Viridiplantae; Streptophyta; Magnoliopsida; Solanales; Solanaceae.